GACUGCGGUAAUAACCGGAGAAGUGGGGAUGACGUCAAAUCAUCAUGCCCCUUAUGACCUGGGCUACACACGUGCUACAAUGGUUGGUACAACGAGUUGCGAGUCGGUGACGGCGAGCUAAUCUCUUAAAGCCAAUCUCAGUUCGGAUUGUAGGCUGCAACUCGCCUACAUGAAGUCGGAAUCGCUAGUAAUCGCGGAUCAGCACGCCGCGGUGAAUACGUUCCCGGGCCUU
Molecule: ribosomal RNA, 232 nt
Filed under: uncultured Streptococcus sp.
Lineage: Bacteria; Bacillati; Bacillota; Bacilli; Lactobacillales; Streptococcaceae
Description: partial 16S ribosomal RNA
Rfam family: Bacterial small subunit ribosomal RNA
Source: RNAcentral